UCAGGUUUCUGUUCGGGACCCAAAUCUCUUCGUCUUUUUCAAUACCAUAGCAAUAAAUUAUUUUACGGAAGACUGCUUGUAGUGAUAGAUCUAAAUAUAUUUUUAUGUCCAUAUAAUAGCUUAGUACUAAAAUUUACCACUUAGUGUUGGUAUAAAUAGCAUCUCAUCAGACGAGUGGGUUUUUAACACACAAGCCCAUCUUCUCAGAAUCGUGACCUGUCAAGUCGGAGACACUUCACUAGUAGGACACACAGCAGGAAAGAAGGUAAACCAGCUUGGAAAGGGACACAAGAACCUCCUAAAAGCAGCACCCUAACCAUAAAAGUACCAGCUGUAUUCCACAACUAACACAAGGUUGAUGGCUGUAUUAAGAAUCCAUAUGAUCUAGCAUAAUGAAAAAUCUUUAAGGAUUAAUCAUGAUCUUCCCCA
Molecule: long non-coding RNA, 429 nt
Organism: Hevea brasiliensis (rubber tree)
Lineage: Eukaryota; Viridiplantae; Streptophyta; Magnoliopsida; Malpighiales; Euphorbiaceae
Exons: 2
Source: RefSeq, a predicted model, not a curated record